Molecule: long non-coding RNA, 551 nt
Organism: Peromyscus leucopus (white-footed mouse)
Lineage: Eukaryota; Metazoa; Chordata; Mammalia; Rodentia; Cricetidae
Exons: 2
Source: RefSeq, a predicted model, not a curated record
AUAAUACUUAUUAUAUCAUAGCAUCUAUCUUCAUGCAGACAUGAGUGUAGCUACCACCCUUUAAGAAAGAAGUUGACCAUCAUGGAAAAUCACAAAUAGACUUACUGCUGAUAAAAAUAGAUCAUAGAAAGUCCACCCCCGAAGCAUCCAUCUAAAGCAGAAAAUAUUUAAAUCAAUCCUACAUCAAAGUGAAAAGAAAGACCUUCAUAUUCUUGAGUUGAGUAAAGGAGCAGAUUGAACAGAGGAAAGAGAGAGCCAACCAGAUUCAAGAAGUAAAAUUCAGAAGUCUCAGAAAGCUCCUGAAAUUUAAAACAUUCACAACGCCAGUCUCGAAACUUACAUAAGCAGCACCAGCAACUGGAGAGGGGAAGAUCUCCACCUUCCUGAGCUUCCUGAAAGUCAGUAAAUCAGCUUCAGGGAUUCAACUGUUAUCAACCAUGCUGUCACAGGCUUUGUGUUGUUGGAACUGUGUUUUAGUCAUCCACACUUCUGUAAGUAACCCAUCAUUUAUAGUAGAGUGGUUAACCGCAAUAAACUAAAUGACCUACUAA